AUGCAAGUCGAGGGGCAGCAUGCCCUUAGCUUGCUAAGGCCGAUGGCGACCGGCGCACGGGUGAGUAACACGUAUCCAACCUGCCGUCUACUCUUGGACAGCCUUCUGAAAGGAAGAUUAAUACAAGAUGGCAUCAUGAGUCCGCAUGUUCACAUGAUUAAAGGUAUUCCGGUAGACGAUGGGGAUGCGUUCCAUUAGAUAGUAGGCGGGGUAACGGCCCACCUAGUCUUCGAUGGAUAGGGGUUCUGAGAGGAAGGUCCCCCACAUUGGAACUGAGACACGGUCCAAACUCCUACGGGAGGCAGCAGUGAGGAAUAUUGGUCAAUGGGCGCAGGCCUGAACCAGCCAAGUAGCGUGAAGGAUGACUGCCCUAUGGGUUGUAAACUUCUUUUAUAAAGGAAUAAAGUCGGGUAUGUAUACCCGUUUGCAUGUACUUUAUGAAUAAGGAUCGGCUAACUCCGUGCCAGCAGCCGCGGUAAUACGGAGGAUCCGAGCGUUAUCCGGAUUUAUUGGGUUUAAAGGGAGCGUAGAUGGAUGUUUAAGUCAGUUGUGAAAGUUUGCGGCUCAACCGUAAAAUUGCAGUUGAUACUGGAUAUCUUGAGUGCAGUUGAGGCAGGCGGAAUUCGUGGUGUAGCGGUGAAAUGCUUAGAUAUCACGAAGAACUCCGAUUGCGAAGGCAGCCUGCUAAGCUGCAACUGACAUUGAGGCUCGAAAGUGUGGGUAUCAAACAGGAUUAGAUACCCUGGUAGUCCACACGGUAAACGAUGAAUACUCGCUGUUUGCGAUAUACAGCAAGCGGCCAAGCGAAAGCGUUAAGUAUUCCACCUGGGGAGUACGCCGGCAACGGUGAAACUCAU
RNAcentral lists this ribosomal RNA (857 nucleotides) under uncultured organism. RNAcentral's name for it is "SSU rRNA". It matches the Rfam family "Bacterial small subunit ribosomal RNA", at positions 55 to 904 of the family's 1533-position model. The record is from RNAcentral.